GAUUGAAGAACGUAGCGAAAUGCGAUACUUGGUGUGAAUUGCAGAAUCCCGUGAACCAUCGAGUCUUUGAACGCAAGUUGCGCCCGAAGCCACUAGGCCGAGGGCACGCCUGCCUGGGCGUCACACGCCGUUGCCCCCCCAUCUACUCCUUCGGGAUUGCGGGGGGGCGGAUGAUGGCCUCCCGUGCGCCUAGCCGCGCGGUUGGCAUAAAUACCAAGUCCUCGGCGACGCACGCCACGACAAUCGGUGGUUGCGAAACCUCGGUUGCCCGUCGUGUGCGUUCGUCGCGCAUCGAGGGCUCGAAAAAAUGCUCGGCUCCGGCUGGGCUUUCAACGCGACCCCAGGUCAGGCGGGGUUACCCGCUGAAUUUAAGCAUAUCAAUAAGCGGAGGA
RNAcentral lists this unclassified non-coding RNA (392 nucleotides) under soil metagenome. Its description in RNAcentral is "partial contains 5.8S ribosomal RNA, internal transcribed spacer 2, and large subunit ribosomal RNA". The stretch from base 4 to 123 matches the Rfam family "5.8S ribosomal RNA", at positions 37 to 154 of the family's 154-position model. The record is from RNAcentral.